UCGCACCAAGUAACACGCCCGCGGUGCACUGUGUCGUUGCGUGCCCCGAGGCGUCGGUGACACCAAACAUCUCAAGCGGAGGGAGGGCUCACUGCCACCACCGCACAUUCUGCGUACUCUCUCACACGCGUGAGAGCUAAGGAGGGGAGGGCGUGCGUGCCUGGCUGUCCGUGUGUUCUAUCUGUGCCGCACCACUGGCGUUGCUCACUGUGCUCAUCUCCGCGUGUAUCUGUGCUGCCGCAUUACGAGGAGCGCGCGGCACAGCGGCGAAGAAGGAUAACGAACAAGGACAGCGAAGAAGAGGCGGGGCACAGCCAAGUAUGGGUGACGUGUUCCGGCAGUUUGCGUCUUUACUUGCCGAACCUACUGCCUCUCUCUCUCUCAACCCUGACUCAUCCCACAGCCAUCAAGUGGGACCGCAUUCUGCCUCGGCUACUCGACACACGUGUAGGCUCGGACCCGCCUGCUGGACUUUGUCUUGCCAGCGCGCACGCAAACGCCCUGGCUUUCUCACGGACUCUCCUCCCUUGCCUUCCCUGCCUCCACAGUGGUCAUGCCUCGAUCUCAUGUGGACGAGGCGCAGCGCCGCCAGGCGUUGGCAGAGCGGCGGUUCCGUGGGCACCGCAUCCGCCGUGGGCUCGAAGAGCUUGGCGACCUCGAUGCUCCCAAGAAGCGCAAAGACGACGUGCCGCCCGCAGAGCGGGUUACCACAGCAACCACUCUUAGCGACUGCACCACGGACAUCACCACCGCCGCGGCUCGAACCACUCCUGCCAUCUUCUCCACCGUUUUUGGCGCGGACUGGGGUGAGUGGGCGGAGGUGAAGCGCGUGCUGUUUGACAUGAACGCCACAGCGGCUGCGAAGCGGAGUGCGUUGGAGACCAUCCAUGUGUGGCGCCAGCGUGCACGCAAGGAGCGCGAGUUGCCGGCCUACGUGGAGUCGACGGAGAUGCUGUUGGAUGCGAUGCUGCAAGACGAGGAGGAAGUGCUGAAAGAUGGACCACUGCGCAUGUGCUACGGCGCCGCCAUUUCGCGCGUAGUGCACGUCAUGACCGGCUCCUUUGCGAGCGGCGCCGCCGACACGUAUCGCAAGCGCGCGAGCGAGAUCGGCUUCCCUGAGGAGGCGGUGGAGGUUCGUCAGCGUGUGGCACACGGAGCACUGCCGCUGGCGUCGGAGUUGCGGUGGGUCUGCGGCUUGGUGCUGCAGUUCUUGUUCACGCAGUACUGGCUGGAGCAGGAGCGGCAGGUGCACCUCAUGCAACAGGAACGGGGCUCCUCCUCGCCCGCAGCCGGCGCGCACCGUAAACCACGACAGCGACAGCCGGCGAGAGCGAGCACAGCCACACCAGCGGUGGAGCCAAGUGUGCCUGCAGCUUCUCUACCACCGCCGUCUGUCACCAUAGACGACAUGAAGGCACUCCUGCACGACCUCGAAAGUGAUGCGGACGGCGACGGCGAAAACGCCAAGGGUGGCGGUGCGACAGAUAAGAGCGACAAGGUUGCACUCGUCACACUAUCUCCUGCCGGUCGCGCCCCGACGGCUGAAGGCGCAGCCAGGCGAGAUACGUCUUCUGGUGCUUCCAUUGCCACCAUAGCAGGCUGGCGUCUGUCGUGACGGCUCGGGGUGGGCGAAGGACGAGAAGUGUGAGGGCUGCUGGAGGGAAGCGACGCGCUGCGUGGGGUCUCUGUUUAUGCCUGGUGGUGGUGGGAGUGCAAGGAACUCCUGCUGCGGUCUAUCGAGCACCUGCACUCGCACAUUCGCACUCGCACAUUCGCAUUCGCACGCGUUAAUGCGGCGUGCGCGAUCGGAGUGCGUAAGGGAGGGCGAUGGGGAGCGACGUACACAUACACACACACACACACACAGACGCAGUAUUAAGCAGACGGGGGCAAGCCGCUAGGCGCCUGGAAGUCGUUGAUGCGAUUCCCAUGCUCCCUACCACGAGCCUGCGCGCGUCGUGCUCUACACCGCCCACCUGCUCUUCCAUCUGUUCAUUAACACAAGCUAAAGCAUGAAAGGGCUGCGCUAUUCUUCUGUUGAUUUUCCGUGAGCGGCGACCGGCGCAGAGAGAGAGAGCGGGAGGGAGUUGGAGCAAGGAUGCGCAUGUGCGUCAGUGAGGAUCCAUGUGCUCGAUCUCACACCCCUACGCUUGCUUCUCACCGCUACCACUGCGCAUCACGUGCUUUCCGCUUCGCAGCUGAUACGCGCGCGCGUGCAUGCAUCGGCAAUCUGCAGGGUCGCCGUCGGCACUUUCAUGUGCCGAAUAGCUAGGCGUGCAUCCGUGCUUCUCUGCCUCUUCUUGCUGCGGGUCACUGCCGCUCAUCUCCAUCACGGCAGCGCUGGCGCCGUCUCUCCCGUUCCGUCCCAUCUUCUCCACUUUCCACAUGCUCUACAUGUACACUUAUCCGAGAGACGAACGUGUGUGCAG
RNAcentral lists this unclassified non-coding RNA (2429 nucleotides) under Leishmania donovani. Its description in RNAcentral is "gene:LdHU3.16.0240(CDS-product:Las1-like_putative )". Lineage: Eukaryota; Euglenozoa; Kinetoplastea; Trypanosomatida; Trypanosomatidae. The record is from RNAcentral.